Molecule: long non-coding RNA, 452 nt
Organism: Chiroxiphia lanceolata (lance-tailed manakin)
Lineage: Eukaryota; Metazoa; Chordata; Aves; Passeriformes; Pipridae
Exons: 4
Source: RefSeq, a predicted model, not a curated record
ACCAGCUUUUUUGGGCCCAAAAGAAAAAUCCUUGGAGGCAAUUCCACAGGAGGCAGGUGCAGAAGGAGUUUUGGUUUCCUCAGUGAGAGCAGCAGGGGCUGUGCCUGACCUGGGAAGCACUUGGAAGGCAAGGUUCAGCUGAUCUUUGAAAACCCACCAAGUCUGAACCUGCUCUCAUGGAAAAGAACAAAAAUAACAACUCUGCUCAGGUGAACCAGCUUGAGGAUUUUUUUUUUUCAUCCAGCAACUGCGAGGAGCUUUUUUAUCCCUCUCAUCCCUGACGGUGCCAGGGAUGAGCCGAUGCACACAAGCCCCUGUGCCAGCCAUCUGUUGGGCACAGCCCGUGCCAGCUGCUCGUCGUGGGCUGCAGUUUUUUCCUCAGCAGUGAUGGGAGUUAGAGAGUAUUCAACCAGCCUUUUGUGUUUUCUCAAUACCAUAGAAUCUGUGCAGCU